This 253-nucleotide ribosomal RNA is filed under the name uncultured bacterium. RNAcentral describes it as "partial 16S ribosomal RNA". It matches the Rfam family "Bacterial small subunit ribosomal RNA", at positions 524 to 776 of the family's 1533-position model. The record is from RNAcentral.
UACGUAGGGUGCGAGCGUUAAUCGGAAUUACUGGGCGUAAAGCGUGCGCAGGCGGCUUUGCAAGACAGAUGUGAAAUCCCCGGGCUCAACCUGGGAACUGCAUUUGUGACUGCAAGGCUAGAGUACGGCAGAGGGGGAUGGAAUUCCGCGUGUAGCAGCGAAAUGCGUAGAUAUGCGGAGGAACACCAAAGGCGAAGGCAAUCCCCUGGGCCUGUACUGACGCUCAUGCACGAAAGCGUGGGGAGCAAACAGG